RNAcentral lists this ribosomal RNA (492 nucleotides) under uncultured bacterium. RNAcentral describes it as "partial 16S ribosomal RNA". It matches the Rfam family "Bacterial small subunit ribosomal RNA", at positions 29 to 507 of the family's 1533-position model. The record is from RNAcentral.
AACGAACGCUGGCGGCAUGCCUAACACAUGCAAGUCGAACGGCAGCACAGUAAGUGCUUGCUCUUACGGGAGUCGAGUGGCGGACGGGUGCGGACUGCAGCGUAACCCACUUUUACGCGGGGGCUAACGAAGGGAAACUUACGCUAAUACGGCAUACAUCCUAUGUGACGAUGCGAGGGAUCUUUUCACCUUGCGCGAUGCUAUGAGCCUAUGUCGGAUUAGCUGGUUGGCGGGGUAAAGGCCCACCAAGGCGACGAUCCGUAGCUGGUCUGAGAGGAUGAUCGGCCACACUGGAACUGAGACACGGUCCAGACUCCUACGGGAGGCAGCAGUGGGGAAUAUUGGACAAUGGGCGCAAGCCUGAUCCAGCCAUACCGCGUGGGUGAAGAAGGCCUUCGGGUUGUAAAGCCCUUUUGUUGGGAAAGAAAAGCAGCAGGUUAAUACCCCGCUGUUCUGACGGUACCCAAAGAAUAAGCACCGGCUAACUUCGUG